CUACAACUUCAGGAGAAAGUUGCCCUUAUGGAACUGUUCCGAUACGAAGAACUCUGAAGGAAGAUCUUGUAAGGAGGCGCGCAUCUUCUCAGGUGAUGAAGCCACAAACAGAAUACACUAGUACAAUCGAAGGACAGCAUGUAAGUAAGAGUUUCCAUCGUUUAUCUUUCUUUGAUCGAUCGAUUCCAAAAUUUACCUGAACACGGAGAUGUCUCCCCAAUAGUUCGCCCAGGUGCUGUUUGACAGCGAGAAAGGAUCCUUGUUCGUUGACGUGAAGGCAGAUAUCGACGUGUAUCCUCUAGUUAUUCCUCCUGGCCAGAAAUCCACUGCUCAGAUUCUUGUUGUGGAUCGGAGGCCUAGCAGUGCCACCGUCGUGCAAGCUGGAUGGCAUGUAAGUUUUGACAAUUGACAAGCCAGACUGAAUAUGCAGUUCCUGUGAAGACAUAUCUCACACUAAUAUAUUUCUGUUCAACCGAACAGAUCGAUUCUCAACAUGAAGGCGACAACCAACCUCGUUUCAUGGUUUACUGGACGGUGCGUACUCUAACUUUCAAAGGCAGAUUUUCACCUUAGGGACCACCUUUUUUAAUGUAUUUACAAUAGAAUCUCCUUUGAUACAGGCCGAUGGCUACCAAAAAACAGGCUGCCUGAACUAUGAAUGCCCAGGCUUUGUGGUCACGAGCCAAGCUACCACUCCUGGAAUGGCUCUUCCAGUGGGGAAAAUUACUUUAAAGAUUCUCAGAGUAAUCCAUGACAUUCAUCACAUCAGCCUGAACAACUUCAUCUUCGUUAUCACUCUCCGUUUGUUUAUAUCUAUUUACAAAUUACUUUAAACAUCUUUAAGGAUGUGACAAGUUGGAGAAGGAAUCAUUGAGAGAGUGGAGGAAAAUUUAAUAGAUACAACUAAUUGUAUAAUUGGAAGGAUGCAAACAGAAAAAAGGAUGUAGCAAGUGUUGCUGAAAUAGUAUGUUUAUGUGUUUUUCAGGAUUUCCAGACCGGGAACUGGAAUGUCUACCUGAACGGUGAGAUGGUCGGCUACUUCCCGGGGGCCAUAGUCAACGGAAUGGACGGCAGCACCCAGAUCC
Molecule: long non-coding RNA, 1085 nt
Filed under: Brachypodium distachyon (stiff brome)
Lineage: Eukaryota; Viridiplantae; Streptophyta; Magnoliopsida; Poales; Poaceae
Description: long non-coding RNA (BDIS_LNC003669)
Source: RNAcentral